Long non-coding RNA from Platichthys flesus (European flounder), 563 nucleotides. RefSeq lists it as uncharacterized. NCBI's taxonomy places the organism in Eukaryota, Metazoa, Chordata, Actinopteri, Pleuronectiformes, Pleuronectidae. The record is from RefSeq and is a predicted model, not a curated record. The transcript has 2 exons.
UUUAACCAUUAGGAUACAACCCCAGACCCUAGUACAUCGGUUCUAGCUGAAAUAAGUAGUGCUUCAUAAACAACACAAAACAUUCAUAACAGUACGCUUCUGCUCCUCAUUAAUGCAGCUCCUGAUGUCCCCAGCAGCAACAUGGUGGAGAUCUGCAGCUUCAUGCUGGUCAACUGGAAGACAACUGAUUAAGAUUAAAAGAUUAAGAUUAAAAUCCAUUUAUUCAUCCCAAACACAUGCACAGACAUGCAAAGGCACACUCAUGCAGAUGAAGAACUGCAGCACCUGAUGUCCUCAGCAGCAACAUGGUGGAGAUCUGAUUUGAAACACUUUAGAUAAGAACCCAGUGUUUUAUAUUUCUGCUUUGCCAUAAGAGACAGAACAUGGUCAUCACAGCUGUGUCCUUCAGGCUCGUCUGUCCCUAAUAAAAUGAUAGGAAACAUGAAAGUGAUCGUCAUUAUUGUAGAGGAAGAGUUACAUAUGAACAAAGUGUGUAAUCUUAUUUUCUGUGGAUAUUCAACUGUGUAUUUGAAUAUGCUUUUGGAUUAAAACGUGCACUACCA